This 253-nucleotide ribosomal RNA is filed under the name uncultured bacterium. Its description in RNAcentral is "partial 16S ribosomal RNA". It matches the Rfam family "Bacterial small subunit ribosomal RNA", at positions 524 to 776 of the family's 1533-position model. The record is from RNAcentral.
UACGGAGGGUGCGAGCGUUGUUCGGAAUCAUUUGGCGUAAAGCGCGUGUAGGCGGCUAGGUAAGUCUGCUCUGAAAGCCCGGGGCUCAACCCCGGGAGGCGGGUGGAUACUGUCUAGCUCGAGUCCGGAAGAGGGGUGUGGAAUUCCUGGUGUAGCGGUGAAAUGCGCAGAUAUCAGGAGGAACACCAAUGGCGAAGGCAGCUCGCUGGGACGUUACUGACGCUGAGACGCGAAAGCGUGGGGAGCAAACAGG